This 506-nucleotide ribosomal RNA is filed under the name uncultured bacterium. RNAcentral's name for it is "partial 16S ribosomal RNA". It matches the Rfam family "Bacterial small subunit ribosomal RNA", at positions 30 to 523 of the family's 1533-position model. The record is from RNAcentral.
AUUGAACGCUGGCGGCAGGCCUAACACAUGCAAGUCGGGCGGUAACAGGAAGUAGCUUGCUACUUUGCUGACGAGCGGCGGACGGGUGAGUAAUGUCUGGGAAACUGCCUGAUGGAGGGGGAUAACUACUGGAAACGGUAGCUAAUACCGCAUAACGUCGCAAGACCAAAGUGGGGGACCUUCGGGCCUCAUGCCAUCGGAUGUGCCAAGAUGGGAUUAGCUAGUAGGUGGGGUAAUGGCUCACCUAGGCGACGAUCCCUAGCUGGUCUGAGAGGAUGACCAGCCACACUGGAACUGAGACACGGUCCAGACUCCUACGGGAGGCAGCAGUGGGGAAUAUUGCACAAUGGGCGCAAGCCUGAUGCAGCCAUGCCGCGUGUAUGAAGAAGGCCUUAGGGUUGUAAAGUACUUUCAGCGGGGAGGAAGGUGUUGAGGUUAAUAACCUCAGCAAUUGACGUUACCCGCAGAAGAAGCACCGGCUAACUCCGUGCCAGCAGCAGCCGCAG